This 462-nucleotide ribosomal RNA is filed under the name Paranemertes sp. PT1. RNAcentral describes it as "partial 16S ribosomal RNA". It matches the Rfam family "Bacterial large subunit ribosomal RNA", at positions 1817 to 2597 of the family's 2925-position model. The record is from RNAcentral. Lineage: Eukaryota; Metazoa; Nemertea; Enopla; Monostilifera; Emplectonematidae. RNAcentral also lists the same sequence under 2 other names.
AGUCUUUUGAAUUGUUAUAAAAGAUGGUUUCUGCUCAGUGUUUUAAUAAACAGCCGCGGUAAUUUGACCGUGCAAAGGUAGCAUAAUUAUUUGCCCUAUAAUUGAGGGCUAGAAUGAAUGGGAGAACAAAAUGUCUGCUUUAUUUUCAAGAAAAAAAGAACUUUCUUUUUUAGUGAAGAAGCUAAAAUUGUUGUGAGGGACAAGAAGACCCUUUUGAGCUUUAGUAAUAAUAUUUUUUUUAAGUUUUAUUAUUUUGGUUGGGGCGACCAAGGAAGAAAAGAUCUUCUUUUUAGAACGUUGAUCCGAAGAUUUCGAUAAAUGAAUUAAGCUACCAAAGGGAUAACAGCGUAAUUUUUUUUGUGAGUUCUUAUUUAAAAAAAAGAUUGCGACCUCGAUGUUGACUUAUAAUUUCCUGUUGGUGUAGAAGCUGUUAGGGUGGGUCUGUCCGACCUUUAAAACCUU